This 433-nucleotide ribosomal RNA is filed under the name uncultured bacterium. RNAcentral describes it as "partial 16S ribosomal RNA". It matches the Rfam family "Bacterial small subunit ribosomal RNA", at positions 29 to 507 of the family's 1533-position model. The record is from RNAcentral.
AACGAACGCUGGCGGCAUGCCUAACACAUGCAAGUCGAACGAGACCUUCGGGUCUAGUGGCGCACGGGUGCGUAACGCGUGGGAACCUGCCCUUAGGUUCGGAAUAACUCCCCGAAAGGGGUGCUAAUACCGGAUAAUGUCUUCGGACCAAAGAUUUAUCGCCUUUGGAUGGGCCCGCGUUGGAUUAGCUAGUUGGUAGGGUAAAAGCCUACCAAGGCGACGAUCCAUAGCUGGUCUGAGAGGAUGAUCAGCCACACUGGGACUGAGACACGGCCCAGACUCCUACGGGAGGCAGCAGUGGGGAAUAUUGGACAAUGGGCGAAAGCCUGAUCCAGCAAUGCCGCGCGAGUGAUGAAGGCCUUAGGGUUGUGAAGCUCUUUUACCCGGGAUGAUAAUGACAGUACCGGGAGAAUAAGCUCCGGCUAACUCCGUG